GGAAUAUUGGACAAUGGUCGGAAGACUGAUCCAGCCAUGCCGCGUGCAGGAAGACGGUCCUAUGGAUUGUAAACUGCUUUUGUACGGGAGCAAUAAGGGCGUCGUGACGUCCGAUGAGAGUACCGUACGAAUAAGCAUCGGCUAACUCCGUGCCAGCAGCCGCGGUAAUACGGAGGAUGCGAGCGUUAUCCGGAUUUAUUGGGUUUAAAGGGUGCGUAGGCGGCUUGACAAGUCAGCGGUGAAAUGCAAGGGCCUAACCCUUGACGUGCCGUUGAAACUGCCGGGCUAGAAUGCGGAUGCUGUGGGAGGAAUGUGUAGUGUAGCGGUGAAAUGCAUAGAUAUUACACAGAACACCGAUUGCGAAGGCAUCUCACAAAUCCGCUAUUGACGCUGAGGCACGAAAGUGCGGGGAUCAAACA
This 419-nucleotide ribosomal RNA is filed under the name uncultured bacterium. Its description in RNAcentral is "bacterial SSU rRNA". It matches the Rfam family "Bacterial small subunit ribosomal RNA", at positions 358 to 774 of the family's 1533-position model. The record is from RNAcentral.